Molecule: long non-coding RNA, 270 nt
Filed under: Aquilegia coerulea
Lineage: Eukaryota; Viridiplantae; Streptophyta; Magnoliopsida; Ranunculales; Ranunculaceae
Description: long non-coding RNA (ACOE_LNC000638)
Source: RNAcentral
UCAGGUUGUCGUGUAGUAGGUGGUUGUGGUCUUGGUGUUGAAGGUGUAGGAUUCUCAGGUUGUCGUGUAGUAGGUGGUUGUGGUUUUGGUGUCGAAGGUGUAGGAUUCUCAGGUUGUCGUGGCAUAGGUGGUUGUGGUUUUGGUGUCGAAGGCGUAGGAUUCUCUGGUUGUUGUGGAGUAGGCGGUUGUGGUUUUGAUGUCGAAGGCGUAGGAUUUUCAGGUUGUUGUGGAGUAGAUGGUUGUGGCUGUGGUUUUGGUGUUGAAGGCAUA